UACAGAGGUCUCAAGCGUUGUUCGGAUUCAUUGGGCGUAAAGGGUGUGUAGGUGGCGCGCUAAGUCGGGUGUGAAAUUUCGGAGCUUAACUCCGAAACUGCAUUCGAUACUGCCGUGCUUGAGGACUGGAGAGGAGACUGGAAUUUACGGUGUAGCAGUGAAAUGCGUAGAUAUCGUAAGGAAGACCAGUGGCGAAGGCGGGUCUCUGGACAGUUCCUGACGCUGAUGCACGAAGGCCAGGGGAGCAAACGGG
RNAcentral lists this ribosomal RNA (253 nucleotides) under uncultured bacterium. Its description in RNAcentral is "partial 16S ribosomal RNA". It matches the Rfam family "Bacterial small subunit ribosomal RNA", at positions 524 to 776 of the family's 1533-position model. The record is from RNAcentral.